Molecule: ribosomal RNA, 1485 nt
Filed under: Persephonella sp. SV2
Lineage: Bacteria; Pseudomonadati; Aquificota; Aquificia; Aquificales; Hydrogenothermaceae
Description: 16S ribosomal RNA
Source: RNAcentral
AGGUUACCUUUUUACGACUUCGCCCCAGUCGCCAGGCCCAUCAUCGGCCCCUGCCUCCCUUGCGGGUUGGCCCGGGGACUUCCGAUGGACCCAACUCCCGUGGCGUGACGGGCGGUGUGUACAAGACCCGAGAACGUAUUCACGGCGACAUUGCUGAUUCGCCAUUACUACCGAUUCCGCCUUCAUGGGGGUGAGUUGCAACCCCCAAUCCGCACUACGACAGGGUUUUUGGGGUUUGCUCCACCUUGCGGCUUCGCUUCCCUUUGUCCCUGCCAUUGUAGCGCCUGUGUAGCCCAGGGCAUAAAGGGCAUACUGAUCUGACGUCAUCCCCUCCUUCCUCCGGCUUAUCGCCGGCAGUCCCCUGUGAGUACCCGGCUUUACCCGCUGGUAACACAGGGCAAGGGUUGCGCUCGUUGCGGGACUUAACCCAACAUCUCACGACACGAGCUGACGACGACCAUGCACCACCUGUGCGGCGCGGGUACCCAUAAGGGUACCCUAGUGACCUUUCGGCCACGACACACCGCAUGUCAAGCCCUGGUGAGGUUUUUCGGUUAGCAUCGAAUUAAACCAGACGCUCCACCGGUUGUGCGGGUCCCCGUCAAUUCCUUUGAGUUUCAACCUUGCGGUCGUACUCCCCAGGCGGGAUGCUUAACGCGUUAGCUUGCGACACGGACAGGUUUCCCUGCCCACAUCUAGCAUCCAUCGUUUACGGCCAGGACUACCCGGGUAUCUAAUCCGGUUCGCUCCCCUGGCUUUCGUCCCUCAGCGUCAGGACAGUUCCAGUCGGCCGCCUUCGCCACUGGUGUUCCUCCCGAUAUCUACGCAUUUCACCGCUACACCGGGAAUUCCGCCGACCUCUCCCUGCCUCAAGUCUAGCAGUUUGGAAGGCAAUUCUGGAGUUGAGCCCCAGGAUUUCACCUUCCACUUACCAGACCGCCUACGGACCCUUUACGCCCAGUAAAUUCGCGCAACGUUCGGGACCUACGUAUUACCGCGGCUGCUGGCACGUAGUUAGCCGUCCCUUCCUCUGUGGGUACCGUCAUUAUCUUCCCCACUGACAGGUGUUUACACCCCGAAGGGCUUCUUCCACCACGCGGCGUUGCUGGGUCAGCCUUUCGGCCAUUGCCCAAUAUUCCCCACUGCUGCCCCCCGUAGGGGUGCGGGCCGUGUCUCAGUCCCACUGUGGCUGGCCAUCCUCUCAGACCAGCUACCCGUCGUAGCCUUGGUGAGCUUUUACCUCACCAACUAGCUGAUGGGACGCAGCCCCAUCCUAAGGCGCCUUGCGGCCUUUGGAGGCUCAUCAUUCAAUAAGCCUCUUUAUUGGGUAUUAGCCCCCCUUUCGGGGGGUUAUCCCCAUCCUUAGGGUAGGUUAGCUACGCGUUACUCACCCGUUCGCCGGUCGCCAGCACCUUCCCAAAAAGGAAGGCCUGCUGCCCCACGACUUGCAUGUGUUAGGCACGCCGCCAACGUUCGCGCUGAGCC